Molecule: long non-coding RNA, 211 nt
Organism: Onychostruthus taczanowskii (white-rumped snowfinch)
Lineage: Eukaryota; Metazoa; Chordata; Aves; Passeriformes; Passeridae
Exons: 3
Source: RefSeq, a predicted model, not a curated record
CCUCAACCCCAGCAAGCAGAACGGGACUGUGAGGCUGCAGAAACAUCCCCCCUUGACCUCUCUGCUCUAUUAUAAGAAUUUCCUGUGCUUUCCUCGGAUGCAAUUAAUCACUUCAUCAAAAGAAACCUAAUACUGAUACCCUCCAAUACUUACAAUCACUGGAUUUCUGAAUGAGAACAACCUGUGCUGGCAGCAUGGCCUGAGUGCAGUC